AAAGGGGAGCUUUGCUCCCUGGCGAUUCAGCGGCGGACGCCGUUUAGUAAUGCCUAUGGAAUCUGCCUGGUAGUGGGGGAUAACGUCCGGAAACGGGCGCUAAUACCGCAUACGUCCUGAGGGAGAAAGUGGGGGAUCUUCGGACCUCACGCUAUCAGAUGAGCCUAGGUCGGAUUAGCUAGUUGGUGGGGUAAAGGCCUACCAAGGCGACGAUCCGUAACUGGUCUGAGAGGAUGAUCAGUCACACUGGAACUGAGACACGGUCCAGACUCAUACGGGAGGCAGCAGUGGGGAAUAUUGGACAAUGGGCGAAAGCCUGAUCCAGCCAUGCCGCGUGUGUGAAGAAGGUCUUCGGAUUGUAAAGCACUUUAAGUUGGGAGGAAGGGCAGUAAGUUAAUACCUUGCUGUUUUGACGUUACCAACAGAAUAAGCACCGGCUAACUUCGUGCCAGCAGCCGCGGUAAUACGAAGGGUGCAAGCGUUAAUCGGAAUUACUGGGCGUAAAGCGCGCGUAGGUGGUUCAGCAAGUUGGAUGUGAAAUCCCCGGGCUCAACCUGGGAACUGCAUCCAAAACUACUGAGCUAGAGUACGGUAGAGGGUGGUGGAAUUUCCUGUGUAGCGCUGAAAUGCGUAGAUAUAGGAAGGAACACCAGUGGCGAAGGCGACCACCUGGACUGAUACUGACACUGAGGUGCGAAAGCUUGCGGUGCAAACAGGAUUAGAUACCCUGGUAGUCCACGCCGUAAACGAUGUCGACUAGCCGUUGGGAUCCUUGAGAUCUUAGUGGCGCAGCUAACGCGAUAAGUCGACCGCCUGGCGAGUCCGGCCGCGAGGUUAAAACUUAAAUGAAUUGACUGGGGGCCCCCACAAGCGGUGGAUCAUGUCGUUUAAUUCGAAGCAACGCGUAGAACCUUACCUUGGCCU
This 924-nucleotide ribosomal RNA is filed under the name Pseudomonas aeruginosa. RNAcentral's name for it is "bacterial SSU rRNA". It matches the Rfam family "Bacterial small subunit ribosomal RNA", at positions 69 to 982 of the family's 1533-position model. Lineage: Bacteria; Pseudomonadati; Pseudomonadota; Gammaproteobacteria; Pseudomonadales; Pseudomonadaceae. The record is from RNAcentral.